CCUACGGGCGGCAGCAGUGGGGAAUAUUGGGCAAUGGGCGCAAGCCUGACCCAGCAACGCCGCGUGCAGGAAGAAGGCUUUCGGGUUGUAAACUUCUUGUCUGAGGGAAGUAGACAGAGACGGUACUUCCUGAAUAAGCCACGGCUAACUACGUGCCAGCAGCAGCUGUAAUACGGAGGUGGCAAGCGUAAUCCGGAUUUAUUGUGUGUAAGGGGAGUGUAGGCGGGAAAGCAAGUCAGAUGUGAAAACUCAGGGCUCAACCCUGAUCCUGCAUUUGCAACUGUUUUUCUUGAGUGCGGGGGAGGCAGUCGGAAUUCGGGGUGUAGCGGUGAAAUGCGUAGAUAUACGGAGGA
Molecule: ribosomal RNA, 353 nt
Filed under: uncultured bacterium
Lineage: Bacteria
Description: partial 16S ribosomal RNA
Rfam family: Bacterial small subunit ribosomal RNA
Source: RNAcentral